Molecule: RNA transcript, 1257 nt
Organism: Amphiprion ocellaris (clown anemonefish)
Lineage: Eukaryota; Metazoa; Chordata; Actinopteri; Pomacentridae
Gene name: complement C3 alpha chain-like
Exons: 2
Source: RefSeq, a predicted model, not a curated record
GUGUGCUCAUCUUCAGGGACUUUUUGUUCGUAUUAUUUUUGUUAAGAUCAAAUGAAUACAUUAUUGUUAAGAUCAAAAUAACACGUUGGAGCAUAAUUACAUCAAAUACACUAUUACAUACGCUCUAGCCCACCAUAUAAUAUAUACAGCUGUACAUUAAUUAAUGCUUUGCUGCUGUCCCGGACCAGAAAAGCCUCCAGCAGAUGUAGAAAAGUCAGACAAGAUCAAGUAGUUGUUGUUGUUAUACGUGUACACGACUGUGCAAAAUGUUAGAUCGGCAGCAAUAUCGACUACCUUAUUACAAAUUGCAGGGCACAGUUUCACAGCUUUGGGUAGUUCAAAAUAUCUUGUGCCAGUUCCUCUGUGGACUGACACUCUGUACAUUAUCUGAUAGGUACUUUAUUCAUUCCCUUAGGGAGAUUCAAGGUAUGCAUGAGCUCACGUGUUACAUAGAAGAUAGAGGGCCACUGUGCGAAUGAGCAUGCAACAGACAUCCCAAAUCUGCCUAAAAUGCUGGUAUUUACAGAGGGCUCUAGGACCCAGAGACGUCAGGAUGGUGGUUCUUGAUAUCAGUCUACCAACUGGAUUCACCCCAGAAAACUCUGACCUGGAGAUGGUAAUCACCUUCUAGUGCUAGUGCAGAAAAAUCUGAAAGCUUGUGUCAAUGGUGUAUUUAAGUGUCUUUAAAAUGAAUGUAGUAUUUUAAAUAAAAGUUUGUAGAAAGUUUACUACAUCAUGAUAAUGACCUUCUAGUGGAUGAGACAUGAAUGAUCGCAUGUUUAGGACGGCGGCGUUGCUAACUAGCUAACAGCUGACUCUGUUUAUGUGUGUGUCCAGCUGUCCAAUUCAGUGCAUCGUUACAUCAGUAACUUCCAGAUUGUAGACAACCUGAGUGACAGAGGCUCCCUGAUCAUUCACCUGUUCAAAGUAACAUCACUGUAUUUAUAAUUAUUAUUCUAUAUCAUAUCAUUUUAUGUUAUUCAUAUGCUUUUCUUUUUUUCCAAGAAGUAGGUUUCUCAAUGCUCAGUAAAUAAGUCUUUAUGACCACAGUCAACAAUCUGAGGCAGUUUUAGGCUAUUACACAAAACCAGCUUAUUGGUACCAAAGCCACGGUUCAGAACUCAGACUUGCUAAAUCAGUGUUAGUGUAGUGCAGUGUAGGGCUGCAGCCAGAGUACUGACGAUAGUUAGCAAGAGAGAUCAUAUUCCUCCUAUGCUGGUUUCUCUUCAUUGGCUUCCUGUGAAAUGUAGAAUAGAA